CCUCCCCGGAAAAGAAACAACUCCAGGGAAUUGUGUCGAAGAGACCAUCGCAUCUCUAAUAAAGGUAGGCACAGAGCUUGUCAGCACACUGUCUGUUGCCAUAGUUACCGUAAGGUAUGACAACAACUGCAGCUCCAGAAAUUAAAGUGUCACAGAACAGAGAAUGACUGCAUAUCACUUCACUAAAUGAUCCCACAUGGCACCCUAGGGUCUGAUGAAGACCGGUGUGAGGAAGUCCACCUGUCCCCUUUCCUCUUAAACUUCACUGGAGUUCACACAAUGGGGAAGGGGCCAAGAGGAUUCACACAGAGACGGACAGGCUUCCCUGGAGGAGGAACUAGUCCAUCAAGACAGGACCACGGGGCCAAAGUGGCUCCACACUGAAGGGUGCGGGUGGAGACGGCCCCAAGCACCCCGCGUGGGUGACUCUGCAGAAGCCAGCUCCACCCCCGGGAAAAGGAAUAGAACCCGCUGCCCUGAUUCCCUCGCUGUCUCAGCCUUAACAACCCCAGCAAGAAGGGCCCCUGACAAACCUGGGCUGCUCCUAUGGUGCACAGACACAUAUAAAUAAUAGGAAAUUUUUGUUCCGAAUCUCAGCUAAAAGAAACCUAUUGCAAAUAAAAUGUAUAAAUGGA
This 635-nucleotide long non-coding RNA is filed under the name Fukomys damarensis (Damara mole-rat). RNAcentral describes it as "lncRNA (ENSFDAG00000032814.1)". Lineage: Eukaryota; Metazoa; Chordata; Mammalia; Rodentia; Bathyergidae. The record is from RNAcentral.